Polyodon spathula (Mississippi paddlefish) is the source of this 1843-nucleotide long non-coding RNA. RefSeq lists it as uncharacterized. The record is from RefSeq and is a predicted model, not a curated record. The transcript has 3 exons. Lineage: Eukaryota; Metazoa; Chordata; Actinopteri; Acipenseriformes; Polyodontidae.
AACAGGCAGAGACGAAGGGGUGGGUGGCUGUGCGCCAAUGCUUUGAAUGGAUUGGUCCCGCUAAAACUGGAUAGAUAGAUAGAUAGAUAGAUAGAUAGAUAGAUAGAAAGAACAGAUACUGCGAGUGUGAGGCCGUGGCAAGGGUGGAAGUCAUCGGAAGUGUGCCAAGACCAACAACACCACUCCUGCUGUAGUUUGUGUGUUAAAUUCUCUUUUCAUUUAAACAAUAUGCGUCGCUGUUCAGCUUUUGUCUGGAGCAGGUUAUCGACCAAGGCAAGGGAUGUGGCAAGACUUUCACCUAGUGAAACACUCGCCUAUAGGUACCAAAACUGACUCUGUUACUGAAUAAGAACGUUUACUGAUCCAGACCUUCUGUACUCGGUGGCUCGGACAAACUGGGACGAUUACAUAUGGUUUCAGGCACCAGUGACUAUGAAAGGAUUUUAUAAAUAAUUUAAUGGGAAAUGCCACGAGUUGGUUGGCAACAAUAUAUCUGACACUUAAAAAUAGGCAUUUUAAUUUUUUUGGUGUAUAUGGUUGUGGGGGGCAGAGGAAGAGGAGGUAUUUUAGGGACUGCAACCACCUGCCUUUGGAAGAAUACCUCAAGUUAAAUCUCUAAGAAGGGAAAUUUUUAUUGCAUGUUUUAAGAACUCUGUUUAAUAAUUAUAUAUAAUUCCUUUCAAUUUAGUGUUUGUGUUGACGUUUGUGCUGUGUAAGGACAAUAGAUGAGAAAGGACACGUAUAAGUCCCAAGCCAGGCCUGUGAAAUAGCUUGAAACCCACUGUUACAAAUGUGUCCACGCCACCCAAAACAGACAGGGUAAUUGCAUGGUCAGAAAGACACACUACCAGAUUUGCUAGAGAACCAGACUCCGCCUAAUAGUAAUCCUGCUACUACUGGAUAUUAGUAUACCCAUUUCAAUCGGCUGUCAACAGAAACUUACCAACACUUUUCUAGAGACAAAAGGUCACAUAUAUACCUCGGGUAUUCAGGCAAUUCAGCAUAUGAAUGUAAAUCUACUAAAGAAUCUCUCUUCACGGAUGGCUUUUAAAGACAAAACAGGGAUGGACAGACCAGGUAAAACACAGUGUUAAAGAAACAGCUGCUGUACUCCAAAAAGAGAACAUUUUGUAUAAUUUGUCUUGCAAAACAGAAAAUAAAUCUUCAAUGAUGGAAUUACAUUUUUUAGGUUCCUUAUAAAGUGCCCAUAUCCUCAGUACCCUUGUACAGUGCUGGGCUACCUACGGUCCACUGGGUGUGUUACAAUGGUCCUUGCCAAGUUUAUACUAUAAAAAAAACUGGCCUUUGGAAUUCUAUUAUCACAGAUGAAAUUGAGAAGUUAAAAAAAAUGUGGCAGGAAUCUGGGAUCCACUGCAGUGUUAGAUUUUUUGCUCAGGAACACAAAUUGAAUGAAGUUAAGAUUAAGAUUACACCUGAAAUUAGAUUGUAUACCAAAUAAUAAGUGAACCUUUAACUGCUGGUUUCACAAACCCAGAGAUGCCAAUACUUGAGAGUGAACAAAAUGGCACCAAGUCAGGGAGGUAAAAUGGGUCUGUGAAACUUGAUGCAAGUAUCCAGUCAAAUAAAGUUGAGGUAAAAUGUGUAUUUAGUUUCAAGUGAAAUCCAUUUUUCUUACCUGUACACAGUGACUGAGCAUUUUAUAAUGCACCCCUUGAUCACCAUGUUUGUCUCCAACAUCAGGUCGCAAAGAAAAAGCAGACGACAGGCUGUAGUUACUGCAACGAGUAUUUAUUCUGUCUACAUGUUUUCUGCAGAGAAUGUGGAUUUUCAACGCUUUGUAUCCUCUUGAUCCAUAAUCGGGUUCACAUAACUGGUACGCAGA